UGGGGAAUAUUGGACAAUGGGCGAAAGCCUGAUCCAGCCAUGCCGCGUGUGUGAAGAAGGUCUUCGGAUUGUAAAGCACUUUAAGUUGGGAGGAAGGGCAGUAAGUUAAUACCUUGCUGUUUUGACGUUACCGACAGAAUAAGCACCGGCUAACUCUGUGCCAGCAGCCGCGGUAAUACAGAGGGUGCAAGCGUUAAUCGGAAUUACUGGGCGUAAAGCGCGCGUAGGUGGUUUGUUAAGUUGGAUGUGAAAGCCCCGGGCUCAACCUGGGAACUGCAUCCAAAACUGGCAAGCUAGAGUACGGUAGAGGGUGGUGGAAUUUCCUGUGUAGCGAUGAAAUGCGUAGAUAUAGGAAGGAACACCAGUGGCGAAGGCGACCACCUGGACUGAUACUGACACUGAGGUGCGAAAGCGUGGGGAGCAAACA
This 427-nucleotide ribosomal RNA is filed under the name uncultured bacterium. RNAcentral's name for it is "partial 16S ribosomal RNA". It matches the Rfam family "Bacterial small subunit ribosomal RNA", at positions 355 to 774 of the family's 1533-position model. The record is from RNAcentral.